This 2927-nucleotide ribosomal RNA is filed under the name Enterobacter ludwigii. RNAcentral describes it as "23S ribosomal RNA". It matches the Rfam family "Bacterial large subunit ribosomal RNA". Lineage: Bacteria; Pseudomonadati; Pseudomonadota; Gammaproteobacteria; Enterobacterales; Enterobacteriaceae. The record is from RNAcentral.
GGGUUGUGAGGUUAAGCGACUAAGCGUACACGGUGGAUGCCUUGGCAGUCAGAGGCGAUGAAGGACGUGCUAAUCUGCGAAAAGCGCCGGCGAGGUGAUAUGAACCUUUGACCCGGCGAUGUCCGAAUGGGGAAACCCAGUGUGUUCCGACACACUAUCGUUAACUGAAUACAUAGGUUAACGAGGCGAACCGGGGGAACUGAAACAUCUAAGUACCCCGAGGAAAAGAAAUCAACCGAGAUUCCCCCAGUAGCGGCGAGCGAACGGGGAGCAGCCCAGAGUCUGAAUCAGCUUGUGUGUUAGUGGAAGCGUCUGGAAAGUCGCACGGUACAGGGUGAAAGUCCCGUACACGAAAGCACACAGGUUGUGAACUCGAAGAGUAGGGCGGGACACGUGGUAUCCUGUCUGAAUAUGGGGGGACCAUCCUCCAAGGCUAAAUACUCCUGACUGACCGAUAGUGAACCAGUACCGUGAGGGAAAGGCGAAAAGAACCCCGGCGAGGGGAGUGAAAAAGAACCUGAAACCGUGUACGUACAAGCAGUGGGAGCCUCUUUUAUGGGGUGACUGCGUACCUUUUGUAUAAUGGGUCAGCGACUUAUAUUCUGUAGCAAGGUUAACCGUAUAGGGGAGCCGCAGGGAAACCGAGUCUUAACUGGGCGUUAAGUUGCAGGGUAUAGACCCGAAACCCGGUGAUCUAGCCAUGGGCAGGUUGAAGGUUGGGUAACACUAACUGGAGGACCGAACCGACUAAUGUUGAAAAAUUAGCGGAUGACUUGUGGCUGGGGGUGAAAGGCCAAUCAAACCGGGAGAUAGCUGGUUCUCCCCGAAAGCUAUUUAGGUAGCGCCUCGUGAACUCAUCUUCGGGGGUAGAGCACUGUUUCGGCUAGGGGGCCAUCCCGGCUUACCAACCCGAUGCAAACUACGAAUACCGAAGAAUGUUAUCACGGGAGACACACGGCGGGUGCUAACGUCCGUCGUGAAGAGGGAAACAACCCAGACCGCCAGCUAAGGUCCCAAAGUCAUGGUUAAGUGGGAAACGAUGUGGGAAGGCACAGACAGCCAGGAUGUUGGCUUAGAAGCAGCCAUCAUUUAAAGAAAGCGUAAUAGCUCACUGGUCGAGUCGGCCUGCGCGGAAGAUGUAACGGGGCUAAACCAUGCACCGAAGCUGCGGCAGCGACACUAUGUGUUGUUGGGUAGGGGAGCGUUCUGUAAGCCGUUGAAGGUGUCCUGUGAGGGAUGCUGGAGGUAUCAGAAGUGCGAAUGCUGACAUAAGUAACGAUAAAGCGGGUGAAAAGCCCGCUCGCCGGAAGACCAAGGGUUCCUGUCCAACGUUAAUCGGGGCAGGGUGAGUCGACCCCUAAGGCGAGGCCGAAAGGCGUAGUCGAUGGGAAACAGGUUAAUAUUCCUGUACUUGGUGUUACUGCGAAGGGGGGACGGAGAAGGCUAUGUUAGCCGGGCGACGGUUGUCCCGGUUUAAGCAUGUAGGCGGAGGUUCCAGGUAAAUCCGGUUCCUUGUUAACGCUGAGGUGUGAUGACGAGGCACUACGGUGCUGAAGUAACAAAUGCCCUGCUUCCAGGAAAAGCCUCUAAGCAUCAGGUAACAUCAAAUCGUACCCCAAACCGACACAGGUGGUCAGGUAGAGAAUACCAAGGCGCUUGAGAGAACUCGGGUGAAGGAACUAGGCAAAAUGGUGCCGUAACUUCGGGAGAAGGCACGCUGAUAUGUAGGUGAAGUCCCUGCGGAUGGAGCUGAAAUCAGUCGAAGAUACCAGCUGGCUGCAACUGUUUAUUAAAAACACAGCACUGUGCAAACACGAAAGUGGACGUAUACGGUGUGACGCCUGCCCGGUGCCGGAAGGUUAAUUGAUGGGGUUAGCGGUAACGCGAAGCUCUUGAUCGAAGCCCCGGUAAACGGCGGCCGUAACUAUAACGGUCCUAAGGUAGCGAAAUUCCUUGUCGGGUAAGUUCCGACCUGCACGAAUGGCGUAAUGAUGGCCAGGCUGUCUCCACCCGAGACUCAGUGAAAUUGAACUCGCUGUGAAGAUGCAGUGUACCCGCGGCAAGACGGAAAGACCCCGUGAACCUUUACUAUAGCUUGACACUGAACACUGGUCCUUGAUGUGUAGGAUAGGUGGGAGGCUUUGAAGCGUGGACGCCAGUCUGCGUGGAGCCAACCUUGAAAUACCACCCUUUAAUGGCUGGUGUUCUAACGUAGACCCGUGAUCCGGGUUGCGGACAGUGUCUGGUGGGUAGUUUGACUGGGGCGGUCUCCUCCCAAAGAGUAACGGAGGAGCACGAAGGUUAGCUAAUCCUGGUCGGACAUCAGGAGGUUAGUGCAAUGGCAUAAGCUAGCUUGACUGCGAGAGUGACGGCUCGAGCAGGUGCGAAAGCAGGUCAUAGUGAUCCGGUGGUUCUGAAUGGAAGGGCCAUCGCUCAACGGAUAAAAGGUACUCCGGGGAUAACAGGCUGAUACCGCCCAAGAGUUCAUAUCGACGGCGGUGUUUGGCACCUCGAUGUCGGCUCAUCACAUCCUGGGGCUGAAGUAGGUCCCAAGGGUAUGGCUGUUCGCCAUUUAAAGUGGUACGCGAGCUGGGUUUAGAACGUCGUGAGACAGUUCGGUCCCUAUCUGCCGUGGGCGCUGGAGAAUUGAGGGGGGCUGCUCCUAGUACGAGAGGACCGGAGUGGACGCAUCACUGGUGUUCGGGUUGUCAUGCCAAUGGCACUGCCCGGUAGCUAAAUGCGGAAGAGAUAAGUGCUGAAAGCAUCUAAGCACGAAACUUGCCCCGAGAUGAGUUCUCCCUGAGACUUUAAGUCUCCUGAAGGAACGUUGAAGACUACGACGUUGAUAGGUCGGGUGUGUAAGCGCAGCGAUGCGUUGAGCUAACCGAUACUAAUGAACCGUGAGGCUUAACCUUACAACGCCGAAG